UUCGAUUGGCGGACGGGUGAGUAAUAUAUAGGUAAUGUGCCCUAGAGAAGAGGAUAACAGUUGGAAACGACUGCUAAUACUCUAUAUGCCUUUAAGACAAAAGUCUGCAAGGGAAAUAUUUAUAGCUCUAGGAUCGGCCUGUACGGUAUCAGCUAGUUGGUGAGGUAAUGGCUCACCAAGGCAAUGACGCCUAACUGGUUUGAGAGGAUGAUCAGUCACACUGGAACUGAGACACGGUCCAGACUCCUACGGGAGGCAGCAGUGGGGAAUAUUGCACAAUGGAGGAAACUCUGAUGCAGCAACGCCGCGUGGAGGAUGACACAUUUCGGUGCGUAAACUCCUUUUAUAUAGGAAGAUAAUGACGGUACUAUAUGAAUAAGCGCCGGCUAACUCCGUGCCAGCAGCCGCGGUAAUACGGAGGGCGCAAGCGUUACUCGGAAUCACUGGGCGUAAAGAGCGUGUAGGCGGAUAGAUAAGUCAGAAGUGAAAUCCUAUGGCUCAACCAUAGAACUGCUUUUGAAACUGUUUAUCUAGAGUGUGGGAGAGGUAGAUGGAAUUUCUGGUGUAGGGGUAAAAUCCGUAGAGAUCAGAAGGAAUACCGAUUGCGAAGGCGAUCUACUGGAACAUUAUUGACGCUGAGACGCGAAAGCGUGGGGAGCAAACAGGAUUAGAUACCCUGGUAGUCCACGCCCUAAACGAUGUACACUAGUUGUUGUGAGGCUAGACCUUGCAGUAAUGCAGUAAACACAUUAAGUGU
Molecule: ribosomal RNA, 757 nt
Filed under: uncultured Arcobacter sp.
Lineage: Bacteria; Pseudomonadati; Campylobacterota; Epsilonproteobacteria; Campylobacterales; Arcobacteraceae
Description: bacterial SSU rRNA
Rfam family: Bacterial small subunit ribosomal RNA
Source: RNAcentral